UUCUUUUUCUUUUUAUUUUUCUCUAUCUCUAUCUCUAUCUCUGUCUCUGUCUCUAUCUCUAUCUCUAUCUCUAUCUCUAUCUCUAUCUCUAUCUCUAUCUCUAUCUCUCUCUCUCUCUCUCUCUCUCUCUCUCUCUCUCUCUCUCUCUCUAUCUCUAUCUCUAUCUCUAUCUAUCUGUACCUAAACAAACAGUGUGUGCAUGGAGUUGAUCAUUGAAAGCCCAGGC
RNAcentral lists this long non-coding RNA (226 nucleotides) under Monodelphis domestica (gray short-tailed opossum). Its description in RNAcentral is "lncRNA (ENSMODG00000045068.1)". The record is from RNAcentral. Lineage: Eukaryota; Metazoa; Chordata; Mammalia; Didelphimorphia; Didelphidae.